UGGCUCAGUUGGUAGAGCAUGGUGUUUGCAACGCCGGCAUGGUGUGUGCAACGCCAGGGUUGUGGGUUCGAUUCCCAC
This is a non-coding RNA of Salmo salar (Atlantic salmon), 78 nucleotides long. The record is from Rfam. NCBI's taxonomy places the organism in Eukaryota, Metazoa, Chordata, Actinopteri, Salmoniformes, Salmonidae.